GAUGAACGCCGGCGGCGUGCCUAAUACAUGCAAGUCGAACGCAUAGCGAAAGGUGCUUGCACCUUUCAAGUGAGUGGCGAACGGGUGAGUAACACGUGGACAACCUGCCUCAAGGCUGGGGAUAACAUUUGGAAACAGAUGCUAAUACCGAAUAAAACUUAGUGUCGCAUGACACAAAGUUAAAAGGCGCUUCGGCGUCACCUAGAGAUGGAUCCGCGGUGCAUUAGUUAGUUGGUGGGGUAAAGGCCUACCAAGACAAUGAUGCAUAGCCGAGUUGGGAGACUGAUCGGCCACAUUGGGACUGAGACACGGCCCAAACUCCUACGGGAGGCUGCAGUAGGGAAUCUUCCACAAUGGGCGAAAGCCUGAUGGAGCAACGCCGCGUGUGUGAUGAAGGCUUUCGGGUCGUAAAGCACUGUUGUAUGGGAAGAACAGCUAGAAUAGGAAAUGAUUUUAGUUUGACGGUACCAUACCAGAAAGGGACGGCUAAAUACGUG
Molecule: ribosomal RNA, 497 nt
Filed under: uncultured bacterium
Lineage: Bacteria
Description: partial 16S ribosomal RNA
Rfam family: Bacterial small subunit ribosomal RNA
Source: RNAcentral